RNAcentral lists this unclassified non-coding RNA (288 nucleotides) under Corticium sp. (in: basidiomycete fungi). RNAcentral's name for it is "Corticium sp. (in: Fungi) partial contains 5.8S ribosomal RNA, internal transcribed spacer 2, and large subunit ribosomal RNA". Lineage: Eukaryota; Fungi; Basidiomycota; Agaricomycetes; Corticiales; Corticiaceae. The record is from RNAcentral.
CGCACCUUGCACUCCUUGGUAUUCCGAGGAGUAUGCCUGUUUGAGUGUCAUUAAAUCAUCAAUCCACCAUUGCUUUUGCGAUGGUUGGCUUGGAUUUGGAGACUGCUGGCUCUUGUUAGUCUGGCUUCUCUUAAAUACAUUAGCUGAACUUGUAUUCGUAGCGCUACGUGUGGUGUGAUAAUAUCUUCACUGCAUAGCUCGAAAUGAAGAUUGGCUUCUAAUCGUCUCUUUGGAGACAACUCUUGACAAUCUGACCUCAAAUCAGGUAGGACUACCCGCUGAACUUAA